UUUCCGUAGGUGAACCUGCGGAAGGAUCAUUACUGAGUGAGGGCCCCUCGGGGUCCAACCUCCCACCCGUGUUUAACGAACCUUGUUGCUUCGGCGGGCCCGCCUCACGGCCGCCGGGGGGCAUCUGCCCCCGGGCCCGCGCCCGCCGACGCCACCUGUGAACGCUGUCUGAAGUAUGCAGUCUGAGACAAUUAUUAAAUUAAUUAAAACUUUCAACAACGGAUCUCUUGGUUCCG
This 236-nucleotide unclassified non-coding RNA is filed under the name plant metagenome. RNAcentral's name for it is "partial contains small subunit ribosomal RNA, internal transcribed spacer 1, and 5.8S ribosomal RNA". The record is from RNAcentral.